GUGAGGAAUAUUGGUCAAUGGGCGGGAGCCUGAACCAGCCAAGUCGCGUGAAGGAAGAAGGAUCUAUGGUUCGUAAACUUCUUUUGCAGGGGAAUAAAGUGCAGGACGUGUCCUGUUUUGUAUGUACCCUGAGAAUAAGGAUCGGCUAACUCCGUGCCAGCAGCCGCGGUAAUACGGAGGAUCCGAGCGUUAUCCGGAUUUAUUGGGUUUAAAGGGUGCGUAGGUGGUUUGAUAAGUCAGCGGUGAAAGUUUGCAGCUUAACUGUAAAAAUGCCGUUGAAACUGUCGGACUUGAGUGUAAAUGAGGUAGGCGGAAUGCGUGGUGUAGCGGUGAAAUGCAUAGAUAUCACGCAGAACUCCGAUUGCGAAGGCAUUGUACUGGCCGACAACUGACGCUGAUGCACGAAAGUGUGGGGAUCGAACAGGAUUAGAAACCCUGGUAGUCC
Molecule: ribosomal RNA, 445 nt
Filed under: uncultured bacterium
Lineage: Bacteria
Description: partial 16S ribosomal RNA
Rfam family: Bacterial small subunit ribosomal RNA
Source: RNAcentral